Molecule: transfer RNA, 72 nt
Filed under: Laonastes aenigmamus (Laotian rock rat)
Lineage: Eukaryota; Metazoa; Chordata; Mammalia; Rodentia; Laonastidae
Description: tRNA-Gln
Rfam family: tRNA
About the family: Transfer RNA (tRNA) molecules are approximately 80 nucleotides in length. Their secondary structure includes four short double-helical elements and three loops (D, anti-codon, and T loops). Further hydrogen bonds mediate the characteristic L-shaped molecular structure. tRNAs have two regions of fundamental functional importance: the anti-codon, which is responsible for specific mRNA codon recognition, and the 3' end, to which the tRNAs corresponding amino acid is attached (by aminoacyl-tRNA synthetases). tRNAs cope with the degeneracy of the genetic code in two manners: having more than one tRNA (with a specific anti-codon) for a particular amino acid; and 'wobble' base-pairing, i.e. permitting non-standard base-pairing at the 3rd anti-codon position.
Source: RNAcentral
UAGGAUAUGGUGUAUGUGGUAGCACUUGGAGUUUUGAUCUCUUUAGGGCAGGUUCAAGCCCUGUUGUCCUAG